CGCCGGUAAGGUGAUAUGAACCGUUAUAACCGGCGAUACCCGAAUGGGGAAACCCAGUGUGACUCGUCACACUAUCAUUAACUGAAUCCAUAGGUUAAUGAGGCGAACCGGGGGAACUGAAACAUCUAAGUACCCCGAGGAAAAGAAAUCAACCGAGAUUCCCCCAGUAGCGGCGAGCGAACGGGGAGGAGCCCAGAGCCUGAAUCAGCAUGUGUGUUAGUGGAAGCGUCUGGAAAGGCGCGCGAUACAGGGUGACAGCCCCGUACACAAAAGCGCAUGUGCUGUGAGCUCGAUGAGUAGGGCGGGACACGUGGUAUCCUGUCUGAAUAUGGGGGGACCAUCCUCCAAGGCUAAAUACUCCUGACUGACCGAUAGUGAACCAGUACCGUGAGGGAAAGGCGAAAAGAACCCCGGCGAGGGGAGUGAAAAAGAACCUGAAACCGUGUACGUACAAGCAGUGGGAGCCCCACCACCAAAGCAUUUGCUGUACCGCGUUGACGGAGCGAAGCGACGUCAAACCGAUAAAACAGCAGUGUAAAGUGAGCCGCAGGGCGCUUUGCGCGACAGCGCAAAGGCAGGCGGUUUCGCGUAGCGAAAGCGAAUGCUUUGGGGUGGGGUGACUGCGUACCUUUUGUAUAAUGGGUCAGCGACUUAUAUUCUGUAGCAAGGUUAACCGAAUAGGGGAGCCGGAGGGAAACCGAGUCUUAAUUGGGCGUUAAGUUGCAGGGUAUAGACCCGAAACCCGGUGAUCUAGCCAUGGGCAGGUUGAAGGUUGGGUAACACUAACUGGAGGACCGAACCGACUAAUGUUGAAAAAUUAGCGGAUGACCUGUGGCUGGGGGUGAAAGGCCAAUCAAACCGGGAGAUAGCUGGUUCUCCCCGAAAGCUAUUUAGGUAGCGCCUCGUGAAUUCAUCUCCGGGGGUAGAGCACUGUUUCGGCUAGGGGGCCAUCCCGGCUUACCAACCCGAUGCAAACUGCGAAUACCGGAGAAUGUUAUCACGGGAGACACACGGCGGGUGCUAACGUCCGUCGUGAAGAGGGAAACAACCCAGACCGCCAGCUAAGGUCCCAAAGUCAUGGUUAAGUGGGAAACGAUGUGGGAAGGCCCAGACAGCCAGGAUGUUGGCUUAGAAGCAGCCAUCAUUUAAAGAAAGCGUAAUAGCUCACUGGUCGAGUCGGCCUGCGCGGAAGAUGUAACGGGGCUAAACCAUGCACCGAAGCUGCGGCAGCGACACUGUGUGUUGUUGGGUAGGGGAGCGUUCUGUAAGCCUGUGAAGGUGUGUCGUGAGGCAUGCUGGAGGUAUCAGAAGUGCGAAUGCUGACAUAAGUAACGAUAAAGCGGGUGAAAAGCCCGCUCGCCGGAAGACCAAGGGUUCCUGUCCAACGUUAAUCGGGGCAGGGUGAGUCGACCCCUAAGGCGAGGCCGAAAGGCGUAGUCGAUGGGAAACGGGUUAAUAUUCCCGUACUUGGUGUUACUGCGAAGGGGGGACGGAGAAGGCUAUGUUGGCCGGG
This 1513-nucleotide ribosomal RNA is filed under the name Salmonella enterica subsp. enterica serovar Enteritidis. RNAcentral's name for it is "partial 23S ribosomal RNA". It matches the Rfam family "Bacterial large subunit ribosomal RNA", at positions 76 to 1495 of the family's 2925-position model. Lineage: Bacteria; Pseudomonadati; Pseudomonadota; Gammaproteobacteria; Enterobacterales; Enterobacteriaceae. The record is from RNAcentral.